This is a long non-coding RNA of Vidua chalybeata, 1600 nucleotides long. RefSeq lists it as uncharacterized. The transcript has 3 exons. The record is from RefSeq and is a predicted model, not a curated record. NCBI's taxonomy places the organism in Eukaryota, Metazoa, Chordata, Aves, Passeriformes, Viduidae.
CAUCUCUGGCAUCCCAAAGCCCUGCCCACGUGGAACUCCAGCCCUCCCCUGGCCUGUAGGCUGCACCUGCAAGGUGGAGCAGCAGCAGCUCCAGCCCCUCUGUUGCCUAGCAAUGGAGAGGCCUCGGUGCUUCAGACAGCCCAAAAUGCAGCUCGCUGCAGCAAGCCCCAUCCCCAGCACAGGAAAAGGCUGAGGACAUCUUUAGGAUCAGCAGGAGAGCAGGUCUGAGCUCCUCUGGGCAUUGUGAGGUCUGCUCUAGGCAGAGCUGGCAGCACCCACAACACCCCCUUCAGUAGGAGAUGACAGAAAUUGUCUUUUAUCAUCUCCAGGCUGCUGCUGAAACAGGAACAGAGACACCUUUGUGCUGAGAAUCCUGCUCUUCAAAAUAUCUGGCACCAGCAUCUCAAGGCAGUCACACCCAGGGUUGGAAAGCUCCUUUUUCACCACUUGCAGCCUGGUUUGCUCAGGAAAAUCCACAGCAAAGCCAGGAAAGAGAAUUUUAAUCAGGUCCCAUGAAGGGAAUUCAGCCCUGGACUGACAUGUUACUGAGAAGAGACUCUCCACAUCACUUCUGAGCACGCUGAAGGCUGCAGAGAAAAUUCUGUUCAGAGCUUUGGUCAGUUUGUGCCACCAAAGCAGAGCCUGGCGGGAAUGGCCCAUCAGAGAGAAGCACACAGAGCUCUCCACAUGACAAAGGAAGGAGAUUUUUAACAUCUGUGAGAAAUGUCUUGUUUUAAUGGAAUGUCUGCUUUGCCUUAAUGGAGUGUCUGUUUUCCAAGCUGUUUUCCAAGCUGCAGAGAACUUCCCCCAGCUCCCAUCCUUGCCCAGUGCCCUGCCAAAGGCUGAGGGCAGCUUUGCAUUCCCCCAGCCCUUCUCCUUCACCUUCAUCAGCUCACACCAACCCGGAGCAGCAGUGGAACAGAGCCAACUGCAAACACACGAGACUUUUACAUUUCCAUGGGGCACCUGGAGCCCAGCUGCUCCCAGGAGAGCUCCACACCUAGCAGAGCAUGCAGGCUCCUGCUCCCUCCCCACCCUCAGGAGCGAGGACACAGCACAGGCAAGGGAAGAGGACAAAGCCCUUUCAGGUGGAGAAGGCUCUGUGUCGUUACUGCUGCUGAAUCCAAGGCACAUCUGAUGAGGCAGAGCCCAAAGCUCAGGCCCUGAGGAGGCACAAAUGCUUCUAAAUAUACAGAGAGACCAACUCCCUCCUCUCCCCUCUCCCUUCUUCCCUCCUUUGUUCAUUUAUUCCCCUCAGAAGAACAAGGCGUCCUCCUCCCCUGCUGCCUUUCCACGGGAGCAGCAGGAUCUGGGGCCUCUGCCUGCAUUCCCAACAUGAAAAGCUUUUGCAGGAGCCUUCUGCUCAAUGAAACACUUCCUUCCUGCUGCCCUGCAUGGACACAGGGAUACCUGCUCAGUGAGGAAUGUGCUCUCUGGUAUAAAUUCCCAGGAUUAACGGAGCAAGGAGCAGAGCUGAGGGAGCCUGGUGCUUGUCAAAAGUCUUUUUUGGCUUAUUGAGUUUUCUCCCUCACCUCUGCCACUGAUGGCACAAAAUAAAAGUCUCCUGGCAACUGCUGCUUUUAACCUGCAAGUGCUGAAG